GCCACACGCACACCCAAUCCCCUCCCCUCCAACCCUAGCCGCCCCCUCCCCUCCCUCUCCACGGCGCCGCCGCCUCCUCCCCUUCUGCCCUGCUCUCCACCGUGCCGCCUCUUCCUCCUCUUCAAUGCCCUCUCCAGCGGCGGCAAAGAACGGCGGUGCUCGAUCCGAUCUGCUGAAGAGAAAAGAUGAGAGAGGGAGAGAGACAAGGAAUGAGAGGAGGGAGAAAGAUAGAGGAAAGAGGAGAGCGAGGUGUGAUGGCGGAUGAGAGAGGGUGACCGGAAGGAGCGUGACGACCUGCAGACAAAGGGCGGUGGCGGCGCCGCUCGAUUUGAUCUGCGGGAUAGAGAAGAUGAGAGGGAGAGAGAGAAGGAAGAACAUGAGAGGAGGGAGAAAGAGAGAGGAAAGAGGAGAGGGGGUCGACGGCCGACAGCAGAGGACCACCGGAAGGAGUGCCGCUGGCUCGUCGUCUUCCACACCGCACUAUAGCAGAGCUACCUCUGUACAACCCACACGCACGCAGAAUACAAGAGGAAGACUAAGAACAAGGUGAGCUCUCUCUCCCCCUAAUCUGCCUAGAUUGCAAGUAUACAUGUGCAUACUUAAUUACUAUUUAGCUGUUCUAUUGCGUUCUUAGUUCUUUCUUUUUUUAGCCAUGCAUUUCUUCUGUCUAUAAGAGUACACCAUUCUUCGAUUGAUCACUCUUGGAUGAUUCCUUUUGUUUGAGGAACUCAAAUUUUCAGUUGCAAGCAUGCAGUUUGGCCAAUGAUGCAGGGUGAUCUGGUUGUUCUGUUGGAGCUGAAAGUUUGGACGGGUACUGAAUAGUGUGAAUUACAUCUGUAAAUAACAACAUGAGGAUCAGGGAUGCAAGCGGCUGGAUUCCAAAACUACCCCCCCCCCCCCCCCCACCCCCCAUGUUUUGCUCGAUAAAUCAAGUUUUUUUUUUUUGCAAUGCUCAAUGGCCUGAAUGUACGAAAUGAGACAAUUCACACCCUUGAUUUCAUAGCAGGUCUCAUGGUUCAGUAGCAAGUAUCGUUAAUCUAACUACCUUCUCCAAAAUGUCAUUUUUCAAUUGAUUUUAGUUCCCUUUUGUAUUCAGUUUUUAAAUUGGUUUCAACUGUCUUUUGGCACUCAAAUGUGAUUAAGUGCAGUAACAUGUAGCAUUUAGUUUAUUUGGUUGACAGUUUAUAACCUCAGCAAGGAGCACGUGACAUUGAUGCCAUCACUGAGCUCAAGAUGGUGCCUUGCAAUGAUCAUUGCACUUCUCUUCCAUACAUCAGUGCCACUUCCAAAGCGGAGUGCCUCCUAGAGGAUAGUCUCUAUUAUCAGAAGGGAACACACUUUCGAAAUAAUAACAUUAUAGGAAGAAGAAGCUGAACUGGAAUAUGUGUCUUCUCUUCCUGAAAGUUUCCUUAAAUGAUUCAGUGCCCCAUGAAAUUAAUCUGGACUGAAAUUACAUAUUUUUAUUAGGUGAAGCAGCACAGAAGACAAAGAAGGCAUAUUGUGCGAGAGCGGCGAUGGCAUGGACGAGCUUGCCUGCUCCCGGUUCGGGUACCAAUGGGACAGCGACACGUUCUACCUUGCACUAAAUGCGAUCGUAUAGAGACACGAUGGAUAUGCCCAAUCCUACAGUGGCAUACGGAGCCAGCUUCGUGUGAGAUGACGGUGGGUUAGCAGUCCAUCAUGCACAUGUUCCGUUGGUACAAAUCUCUUCUCGCGGUACACAGCGACUACCAUCAGUUGCGGCCUGGCGCGCAAACGUCGUCUUCCUAAUAAACAGAUAAGGGUGCACAACAUUGUGGAUCCAACCUUGCCGGCGACGCUGAGAAAAAAAGGCAAAUCUAUCCAUUCGGGCACCGCACGAGGCGAGAAGCUCGGAGCUAUGGUGAUGGCGGCGGCGGGAGGCGACGGAUUCGAGUUCCUAGCAGAUCCGGUUCACAGGUUUCCCUUGCUGGAUCUCGCCGCCGGCGGCUCUUUACUGCGCAGUGAAGCCAAGCAAGCUGUGGUACACACGCCCGCCGAAUCCAGCAUUUGUGAUGUGGGCGAUGCGGCGCCGACACCUGACAGUACAACUAUAUUUGAACAUCGCUUGCAAUGGGAUGGCCCUGUCGACGCCGAACUCAGAGCAAUCGAUGGGCAAGGACGAUCCUCAGCCGCCUGGCUGGACCAAGAGGGUGCGUGUUGGGCAUGCACCUGAUGAACGUCCCCCAUGUGCUGGCAGAAUGAGUGCCUUGAAAAAACAUUUAGAAGAUAUGUAGUUCCUGCGGUAGGAAGCCACUUUAAUUCACUUGGAGAAGCAUAUGUCUAUUACAAUCUGUAUUCUAGGGACACUGGGUUUGGAAUAACGUACGGCAAGAGCAGGCUUAAUGUUGAAAGGAUAAAUGCAUGCAGGAGAUACUAUGUGGCUGCUCCUGCUCGGUAAGCGCUGUUUUCAAUGGACCAUCACAUACCAAAUUGGCCGGUGUAUCGGACAUAACAUUUAGCGUCAAUGAAAAGAGAAAUGAAUAAGUUUGACACACUGUUGUACAUGCAACUUCUUUUUGAUAGGGAAGCAAGUGAGAACUAUGAAGAGAGACGUACAAAGAUACUAGCCCCCGUAAUGAAAAUGAACACACCACUGGAGUUGCAUGCUAGCGAUAUGUACACACGAGCCAUGUUUGAAAAGUUUGGCGAAAUUAUGUAUGAAGCAGGGCAGUACAAAGUAGAGGAGGUCAGUAAAGGGAAAAUCUAUUUCGUGCGACGAUACCAUCCAGAGAAACAUGAAAAGUGGUGCGGGGUGUGUACAAAGUGGAAGUUGUUGAGGAAGGGAGGGAACUGAUAUGUGAGUGUGCUAAUUUCGAGCACACAUUCUUGCUCUGCUGCCAUGCAGUUAAGGUCCUUGAUUUCCUCGGCAUAUACCAGAUACCAGCAAAACAUAUUCUGAAACGUUGGACAAAGGAUGCAAGAGAUGUAUUGUCAACCCACUUAAGGAUGCAAGAGAUGUAUUGUCAACCCACUUAUCACACCUUCAGAAGGAUAGCAUUUCAGUGAAUUCAAUAACCUUUAGGCACUCAAAUCUUCACACACAUGCACUCGAAGUGGUGAGGCUGGAGACGCAAAUACAGAGGCCUAUGACUAUGAGUGUGCAAUGGACAUCUUGAAGAUAGCAAUGGAUAAACUGACACCGAUAGCCGCCAUGCGAGAUGGAAUGUGAUUGCAUUGGAAGACAAAAUUCAGCCAAACAAGGGAUGUCUACACCUGAUUCAGGCGGGGGCUCUGUUAGCCAUGUGUCUUCCAGCUCUAGAUCGACUGCCCUUGCAGUCAGCGAUGAGCACUACCUGCAUCUUCAGUUCUUGCAAUCUGAUGAUCAUGUCGCUGGCGGCAGUGCUCCAGGGCAUGCGGCUUUCGUGCAGGUCGGUGAUUGAGGAUACCGUGUACGGGAGGGCUGAUGGUGUAUCGAUGGCAGAUGAAGGUUGCGAAGAUGAGUCACAAGUCCAGUCCCGUUCUUCAACCGUGGAAGAGGUGGGUACCUAUGAUCCAGAAAAUCAGAGCUACGCCGGCGGUGAUAACUGGUCCGAGACAGGAAGCUACUCCGAGUUAAGGACCAAGGUUGCUGAUGGAUCCAUCAGCGGCGUCGAUGGUGAGAGACGCGCAGCAAAGCGAGCAAGAGUUGAGGACUGAUGUGUUCCGAAGAUGCUUAAAGCUGUUACCCUUAGUAACCGCUGAACUCAGCGGUGAAAUCCUAGACUAAAAAAGGUGUUUGUGUUAAGAUUAGUGGCGUACAAGUUUGCGCCAGUGUGUUGCGGUGGGUUCAAUGUCGAUCUAGGAGUCCUGGUAGGUUUGUGUGGAAAAAAUAAAAGGAGGUUAGGUUUUGGUUUGUCGAAAUCCACGUAUGUUGAUUGGAUUAUGUUUUCAUGUGUGGUGUCUGCCCCCAAUGACUGGUCAACUCAUGCUCGUUUGCAACUUUGGUACAUCGAACAUAUAAAUCGUCGUAGACUA
Triticum urartu is the source of this 3975-nucleotide non-coding RNA. NCBI's taxonomy places the organism in Eukaryota, Viridiplantae, Streptophyta, Magnoliopsida, Poales, Poaceae. The record is from RefSeq and is a predicted model, not a curated record.